This 508-nucleotide ribosomal RNA is filed under the name uncultured bacterium. Its description in RNAcentral is "partial 16S ribosomal RNA". It matches the Rfam family "Bacterial small subunit ribosomal RNA", at positions 30 to 523 of the family's 1533-position model. The record is from RNAcentral.
AUUGAACGCUGGCGGCAGGCCUAACACAUGCAAGUCGAGCGGCAGCGGGAAAGUAGCUUGCUACUUUUGCCGGCGAGCGGCGGACGGGUGAGUAAUGCCUGGGAAAUUGCCCAGUCGAGGGGGAUAACAGUUGGAAACGACUGCUAAUACCGCAUACGCCCUACGGGGGAAAGCAGGGGACCUUCGGGCCUGGCGCGAUUGGAUAGGCCCGGGUGGGAUUAGCUAGUUGGUGAGGUAAUGGCUCACCAAGGCGACGAUCCCUAGCUGGUCUGAGAGGAUGAUCAGCCACACUGGAACUGAGACACGGUCCAGACUCCUACGGGAGGCAGCAGUGGGGAAUAUUGCACAAUGGGGGAAGCCCUGAUGCAGCCAUGCCGCGUGUGUGAAGAAGGCCUUCGGGUUGUAAAGCACUUUCAGCGAGGAGGAAAGGUUGAUGCCUAAUACGUAUCAACUGUGACGUUACUCGCAGAAGAAGCACCGGCUAACUCCGUGUCAGCAGCCGCAGUAA